Molecule: transfer RNA, 71 nt
Filed under: Cordylochernes scorpioides
Lineage: Eukaryota; Metazoa; Arthropoda; Arachnida; Pseudoscorpiones; Chernetidae
Description: tRNA-Thr
Source: RNAcentral
UGUCCAGGGGCGGGAAUCGAACCCACAACCUUCCGCUUACCGGGCAGAUGCCAUGUCCACUGCCAUUUUUC